CGGGAGCACCGGCGGACGGGUGCGUAACGCGUACACAACGUACCUCAGAGCGGGGGAUAGCAUUGGGAAACUGGUGGUAAACCCCCCAUGGUGUUGAAGAAUGGCAUCAUUUUUCAACUAAAGGUUACACUCUGAGAUCGGUGUGCGUCUGAUUAGCUAGUUGGCGGGGUAACGGCCCACCAAGGCGACGAUCAGUAGGGGGUGUGAGAGCAUGACCCCCCACAUGGGUACUGAGACACGGACCCA
Molecule: ribosomal RNA, 246 nt
Filed under: uncultured bacterium
Lineage: Bacteria
Description: partial 16S ribosomal RNA
Rfam family: Bacterial small subunit ribosomal RNA
Source: RNAcentral